UGGUGGGUAGUUUGACUGGGGCGGUCUCCUCCUAAAGAGUAACGGAGGAGCACGAAGGUUGGCUAAUCCUGGUCGGACAUCAGGAGGUUAGUGCAAUGGCAUAAGCCAGCUUGACUGCGAGCGUGACGGCGCGAGCAGGUGCGAAAGCAGGUCAUAGUGAUCCGGUGGUUCUGAAUGGAAGGGCCAUCGCUCAACGGAUAAAAGGUACUCCGGGGAUAACAGGCUGAUACCGCCCAAGAGUUCAUAUCGACGGCGGUGUUUGGCACCUCGAUGUCGGCUCAUCACAUCCUGGGGCUGAAGUAGGUCCCAAGGGUAUGGCUGUUCGCCAUUUAAAGUGGUACGCGAGCUGGGUUUAGAACGUCGUGAGACAGUUCGGUCCCUAUCUGCCGUGGGCGCUGGAGAACUGAGGGGGGCUGCUCCUAGUACGAGAGGACCGGAGUGGACGCAUCACUGGUGUUCGGGUUGUCAUGCCAAUGGCACUGCCCGGUAGCUAAAUGCGGAAGAGAUAAGUGCUGAAAGCAUCUAAGCACGAAACUUGCCCCGAGAUGAGUUCUCCCUGAGACUUAGAGUCUCCUGAAGGAACGUUGAAGACGACGACGUUGAUAGGCCGGGUGUGUAAGCGCAGCGAUGCGUUGAGCUAACCGGUA
RNAcentral lists this ribosomal RNA (647 nucleotides) under Salmonella enterica subsp. enterica serovar Infantis. RNAcentral's name for it is "partial 23S ribosomal RNA". It matches the Rfam family "Bacterial large subunit ribosomal RNA", at positions 2259 to 2900 of the family's 2925-position model. Lineage: Bacteria; Pseudomonadati; Pseudomonadota; Gammaproteobacteria; Enterobacterales; Enterobacteriaceae. RNAcentral also lists the same sequence under 2 other names. The record is from RNAcentral.